GUAGCUCUGAAUCCUGACCUGAGACAGAGAGGAAGUGGGUGCGUUAAGGAGGCGAUAUUCAUGCAUGAUCCAGUCAGUUCUAGAUCCAUGAGGUGGCUUUCCUCUGUAGAAAACAAGUGUCUUCUUCAUCCCCACAACUUGGUUCCCUUUUGAAGUUACAAUUUGUUUGUCCAACCCAGUGGCCUUCCAAUAACCUGAAUUGGUGGCUCUGUUGGAGCGGUUGCCAUUAGGAUAUUUGGGCUCUUUGGUGCUGAAAAAGUACCUUUCUUUCUCUAAAUCACCUAAACACAGCACCCAGAAGGGAUUGCAGUUAGACUCAAUUAAUUGGGAAGAAGAGAGAGGGGAAGAAGAGAAUGAUAGGCACCUGGCAAAUCCCAAGGAUCAGACUUGCAAAGGGAAGGAGAAGACCUUCCGCUUUAAGUAUUGCACAACCAAUUCCUCGUCAGUUGGGUGGAAACGGAACCCCGGGGGUAAUCUGAGCUCCCCAUUCUUCACAAAAUUAAGUUUUUCCAUUCCACCACACCACACAACAACCUACUUCUCCUUCUCUGUAUAUGUUUUGAAUAUAGCAGUAUGGUACUAACAGUUUUGUGUGUCCGACUAGAGCAGAGCAGGCCAGUUGGGUGGGUGACAAUUGAAGCACUCGUGGGGGUUCUUAUAACUCCAUUAAAGCGUAGAGGAAAAUAAAGAAAGGGGCUGAAGAAGGGGAAAGGAAAGAAGAAAAAGGAGGGAAAAGGGUGUUAUUAUUAUUGGAUAAAGAAAGCGAAAGGGUAUGGAGUAAGAUGCAGUGUGGCUUCUUUUAUAGAAAUGGGUCUGACAGGAAGGAAGGAGAAGAAUAAGACGACACAUUUGGCGUAAACCAGACUCAACCUUUCUUUUACUUUGACGUUAUAUUAACUAUGGUUUAAGGUUUUUUUUUUAUAUUAUUAUUAUUAUGGUUUGUUUGUGAGAGAAGUUGUUACUCCAGACCAGAGUGGGUGGUGCUAAUAAGAAAACAAAGGCUAGUUCCCUGUGUUGUGGUUGCAAUUUGGAGUUAGAUUGGAGGAGGAUUCCGUUGGGUUUAUCCAAACAAAGCACUUAUCUGUCCCUUCCUUGGAUAAAACAAAACAAGUUCUCCAUUUUUUGUUUCUAACAAACAACUAAAUUUUGAUUUGGUUGGUUUUAAUGUUAUCCUAAAGUGAGGAAGUUUAGAAAGGAAGGUAAAUGAAAAAAAAAGAGGUGUCUGAAGUGAGGUUAUGUGAUGGGGUACAGCUGGAAGUGACCCAAGGGAAGGGAAUGCAAAGAGGCUUUAUCAGUGGCAUGGCACUGAGUUGGUGAAAGUACAGAACUAACCCUCUCUUUCUAUUUCUGUUCUAUCUCUCAACGGGGAACAAAAGAAUAUGAAUGAAUAGAGGAUCUUGUUUUUUAGAACACCUCAGCAAGAGAACCCACUCUUCAUUUGUACGGUUUUCGUAGUAAGUAACUUCUUCACACUUUAGACGCAUCCCAUUCUGUCGGUGUUUCCUUUAAUUCACUAAUAUUAUUCUUAUCUCAUUUUAAUAACUUUCACAAAACUCUUUACUCAAACUAAAUUCAUUUCUUCUAAGAUUAUUUACUAUUUAUUACUUUUAGCUUUGAUUUGGAAUUAAAAAAACAAUUAUCUUUACCUCUUAGAAUAAUUUCACAAUUUUUCUUUUACUCUUCUUUCUCUCGUCCUUGUAAAUACUAAGUUCGGAUUGUAUCUGUAGAAGGCACUCUGACAUAAUGUUCAGUGCAAUUAAUGCGUAAUGAUGACGUAUCUUAUUUUUAAAAUGUGUGAUUAUUUAUAUGAUUAUCAUGAAUGAUUUCUUAUUGGAUCAAUUAAGAUUUUGAAUCAUAAUUAAAUAUGCAUUACAUAAUUUAAUCACCGUUUGAUCUUGUUAAUCUUCUGUAAGACUUAAUUAAUCUGAUUACGUGAAUCGAUUUUGACUGAGUUCCACUUGUCAUUUGGAGCCGUUACAAUCCGUAAGGUUGUCAUUAUUAAAUGCAAUUUAGGUCCACGCUUGUUCAAGAUUUUUUUAGAUCGCAAAUAGUGAAUUAUGUUUCUGGGACAGUUUUGAAAAUUGAAUUGAUUGUAUUUAUGAAUUUCUUGUGAUACCACAUUCAUUUGAGGAGACGUGAACGUAAACAUACACUUGCGAAAUCAUUUUCAAAUCAAUUAAAAUAUUCUGUUAGCUUUUCAAUAACUUAAGGGUCUAAAUCACGCUGAAAUGGACUAACCAUACAAAUUGGCAUAUAUUCUUAUUAAAGGUACAUGCAUAAAAACUAUGGCCAUAUAAAACCAAUGAGAAAAUCUAUUCUAUCCCAGACAGACAUCAUCCUAUGUAUUGCAGUCUUAAUUCUCAUAAUAUAUUUCUGUGUGGGCCUAAUUUCUUUUUAUUUUCCCACCAAAUAAUGGAAACGUCCACGUUACUUGGGAGUGUAGAACAACUGUUUUUAAUUUAAGUACUAGUCAAACACUCCAUAACUAAGUUCAUUUUAUUUAUUUAUUUACUAUACUCUGUCGGGAAAAUUACAAGUUGAUUAAUUCCUUUAUUUCACAAACUAUUGUUUAUCAGGGAGUCUGAUGGUAGAGAAUUUAUUAAUUAAAUUUUUUUAUUUGGGUAGUAUAUUGAUAGAGUUCGCACUAUAAAAAGAUUCAUCAUCUUGUUUAGGUCGAUCGACAUAAUCAAUAACAAAAUUGAUUGAUAAUUCAAUAUUAGUUAAUUUGUCUUUAUUAGGUCUAUUAAUGACAAAUGGUCCACAAUAAUAAUAUAAAUAAGCAUAGAUUAAAAAAAAAAAAAAAUAAGAGAAGUGAUGUAAUAGUUUUUUUAUUCUCACCCGUUCAAGAAUAGAUAUGUCAAUAAAAAUAAUGUAUGAUUGUGUUGAUAUUCUCAUAGAUUGAGGCAUAUUACUUCUAGUUUUGUUUUAUUUAUUAGUAAUCAUCUGACUAAUUACUUUUAAUCAUACACAUUUUAAAAAAAUAUUGAUUAAAAAUAUAACUUGAGAGGUUGAAACAUAAAGUGUUAUUUUUGUUAGAUCACCCUAACGUUGACAUGAAACAUCCAUCUAUUUUACCAGUGUCUAAUAAUAAUUUAUGCAUAGUUACAAUUGACAAAAAUGUUUUUUAAUUAGAUUUAUUUCACAAAUUCAACGUUUUAACGAAUUUUUAUUUGUAACAAGACUCCGGCUUUAAUUUCCUUUUAUUUCAACAAAAAGAUAUUCUAAAAAAACUAGGUAUCAUUUCAUAUCAAAGGUAAGAGUACAAAUAUGAUAAAAUAUGUUUUUUUAAUCAUUCUAAAACAUCUAAAGUUUAGUUAUAUUUUAAAAACAUUGUUGUUUUUAUUCCUCCUACUUUUGAUUCUUUAAACGUUGUCUAAAUAAUAUAUUGUCUUUUAUAAAACGUUAUUUAAAUUUGAAGGAUAAAAUUAUGCUUUUCAAAAUUAAAGUGACUGAAAAUAAGACAAAAGGAGUUAGAAGGGCUAAUAUAUCGAAUUUAGUUGUUCUUUUUAAGAAGAAACCAAUAAAGAUACUUUACUCCUUUUUAUUUAAAAACUAAUUUGUUGACUAUUCAGGUAACAUAUGGACCUGCAGUAUAAGAUUUUUUUUUUAUUGUUGUUAUAAAAGCAACUUAUAGUUGACCGGUUAGUUUUAAAAGACAAUGAAAUAUGAAGAAUAUUAAAAAAUUAUACUAAAAUCUAAAUUUUUGGCAUAUUAAAAUUAAAAGUUAUGGUAAUGAUUUUUGCAUACUCAUCAAAGGAAAAAACAUAAAUUUAUUUUGAAUGUGUGUUUUGUUUGUGAAGUCUCUUUUAGAGUAUGGGAUUACCAUUGAUGUCAAUUGUUUAAAAUAUUACUUUGUCUCUUUCAAGAGAGACAAUUCUUUUAUGUGUCAAUCGAACAAAUCAUGUAAUAAUAAAGAGAGAUGAUAAGUAAAAAAAAAAAAAACACUCCAUUUUAGAGUUCAAUUUAAACAACUAAAAACUGUACACGUUGCUCUCUAUUUGUUCCACAGUACGUUAAAAAAGGAAUUGUGUUAAAUGUUUAAUUAAUAAUAUCGCAGGUGACAUCUGCACACCUUCAAUAAUUGAAUUUUGACUAGUUUUCUCAGUAUUUUUGGAUUUCUUAUUUGUCUUAAAAAAAGGCAAAGUAAGUUGUGAUUGUGUUAUAAUGAAACGCAUAAUAAGUGUAGAGAAGUAUGAAAAAAGAUAAGGUGUUUGUUUAGUGAUUAGUAGUAUUGGAAUGAAUUAUUUUGAAAAGUAGUUUGAUAGAGAGAGAUGUAUAAUAAAAAAAUGAUAAUGAGAUGAGAAGAAAGGUGGGUGAAAGAAUAAAGGUAAGGGUCCCAGUUGGUUCGAAAACCAGGGGCAACCACGUAGGAUUAAGGGUAGAUGACAAAUAUGGUACCUUCAAGUGAUGCCCCAUUUCAAGAUUUCCACGAUCUUCUUGUCUCACUGUUUCCAUCUAAUCAUGCAAUACAAUGCAGUGUAUUUCCAAACAGGAUUCUAAUUAAAACAACCAUUUUCAGUUCUUCUAUUUACAUCUCACUCCUUCUAUUCGGACAAAAUUUGUUAUUUUUGUUUUUCCACUUUUUUUUCUCAUUCAAAUAUGUUCAGUUUUUUGUUCUUUCUCCGACUUAGUUUUGGGUGUGACAUUCUCUGACUAAGUGGCCUUUAAAGUGAUGUUUUAUACAACUAAAUCGUUAUCGGUACAUAAAAUAAUUGAGAGAUGAGCAAUAAUUUUAUGAGUUGCAUGAUUAUAACACCGUCCUAGUUUAAUCUGCAAAUUGCUUAAAGUUUUUAUUUAAUUUUGUAAAAGGUACAAAUUGGAUGGGUUGUGGCAGUGGUGCAGGACAGUGUUGUAUGCAUGAGGUGAAGAAAUGUAAGCAAUAGGGAAACGUAGCUGUCAUGCUUUCUAUAUAGCUCAGAACUAGACGUGUUAAAACACUCAUGGUUUCUGCACAGAAUGCUAUAAAACAAACUACACUUAAUUACCAUCAUCAUCAUCUGAAACUACAACCAAUUUCAUUCUAAUAAACUCUUAAGCAUAUUCAUGAUAGGCUCUGUAUUUGCCAUUCAAAAAAUGCUUCCAAUUUCUGCAUUUCUUAUUCAAUAUAUAUACAUAUAUUGUAGUUGGUUAUUAAGAUCACAGAUAACCCUCCUCUCUCUAUCCGACAAGAAUGACCAUUCAUUUUGCAACCUCUUCUUUUCCUAAACAAAAGGAACAAACUAGUGCAAAGGUUGUGUUCUUAUUUUAUGUUUCUUCUCCUGAAAACGGUCUUUAAAAUAUACAUGUAUUUUGGACCUCUUUUCUUAUGCUCUUUCCAUGGAUUCUUUCUCUUUUGCUCUGUCAAAGCAUCUCCUUCAAGACUCAAAAUUAGUAGCUUUUAGCUAGCUAAAAGAAGCACUGCCUUUGCAUUUGCAUGAUGAUGAAGGGCAUCAUCAGAGAUUGAACUAAAAAGAAAAACUGGAUUGCACACUAGUUUUAGUAGCAUACUCUUCAGACUUAGACUAGCCUUGGUGCCGGUUGAAAAUGAGAAGAUAAUUACAGAGAAAGACAAUAAAAGAAAGAGGCAAAGCUUAGGCUGAUAUGAGAUGAGAUGGUUGCAAAACAAGUAGUGGCACUAGAAUUCAAGUGAAGGGUGUCAAGGUUUUCUUCUAAUAUAAGGGAAGGUGUUGGAGCUACUACUCUCUUCAUGCUCAUCUGAUUCAUUGGUAACCCCACUGGCGCCAGAAUUUGAGGAAUCGCUCUUGUUCUGCGCCAUGAAGUUAUAGAAAACCAUCUUCGACUUUCUCACCAUCCCCUUAUCCACUCUGCCUCGCAAACUCUCCAUCUCCUUCUCCUCCCCGUUUCUACUACCACUUCUCCUCUUCAAAAAUAUGCGACACAGAACCCAAUUUUCCAUGGGAACUUCAACCACAGGGCUCUGCACGCGCACACACAAACAAACCAAAAACACUGUGUGAGUAAUUAAUGCAUGCGUGGGGAUAAUUUGAGGUUAAUUUGGUAGCUCUGAAUCCUCACCUGAGACAGAGAGGAAGUGGGCGCGUUAAGAAGGCGAUAUUCAUGCAUGAUCCAGUCAGUUCUAGAUCCAUGAGGUGGCUUUCCUCUGUAGAAAACAAGUGUCUUCUUCAUCCCCACAACUUGGUUCCCUUUUGAAGUUACAAUUUGUUUGUCCAACCCAGUGGCCUUCCAAUAACCUGAAUUCGUGGCUCUGUUUGAGCGGUUGCC
Molecule: long non-coding RNA, 6222 nt
Filed under: Phaseolus vulgaris (common bean)
Lineage: Eukaryota; Viridiplantae; Streptophyta; Magnoliopsida; Fabales; Fabaceae
Description: long non-coding RNA (PVUL_LNC001356)
Source: RNAcentral